Molecule: ribosomal RNA, 435 nt
Filed under: uncultured bacterium
Lineage: Bacteria
Description: partial 16S ribosomal RNA
Rfam family: Bacterial small subunit ribosomal RNA
Source: RNAcentral
AGCGAACGCUGGCGGCAGGCUUAACACAUGCAAGUCGAGCGGGCACUUUCGGGUGUCAGCGGCGGACGGGUGAGUAACGCGUGGGAACGUGCCCUCUGGUUCGGAAUAACUCAGGGAAACUUGAGCUAAUACCGGAUACGCCCUUUUGGGGAAAGGCUUGCUGCCGGAGGAUCGGCCCGCGUCUGAUUAGCUAGUUGGUGAGGUAACGGCUCACCAAGGCGACGAUCAGUAGCUGGUCUGAGAGGAUGAUCAGCCACACUGGGACUGAGACACGGCCCAGACUCCUACGGGAGGCAGCAGUGGGGAAUAUUGGACAGUGGGCGCAAGCCUGAUCCAGCCAUGCCGCGUGAGUGAUGAAGGCCUUAGGGUUGUAAAGCUCUUUUAUCCGGGACGAUAAUGACGGUACCGGAGGAAUAAGCCCCGGCUAACUUCGUG